UCCUGGUUAUCUCCAUUGGUAGAGCGCUCCACUGAAAAAUGCAGAGGUCCCUGGUUCGAUACCAGGACCAGGCG
This 74-nucleotide transfer RNA is filed under the name Ixodes scapularis (black-legged tick). It matches the Rfam family "tRNA". From Rfam's summary of the family: Transfer RNA (tRNA) molecules are approximately 80 nucleotides in length. Their secondary structure includes four short double-helical elements and three loops (D, anti-codon, and T loops). The record is from Rfam by way of RNAcentral. Lineage: Eukaryota; Metazoa; Arthropoda; Arachnida; Ixodida; Ixodidae.